Molecule: non-coding RNA, 161 nt
Organism: Theobroma cacao (cacao)
Lineage: Eukaryota; Viridiplantae; Streptophyta; Magnoliopsida; Malvales; Malvaceae
Source: RefSeq, a predicted model, not a curated record
GGGAAAAUAGGUGGAAAUUCAAAAAUCAAGUGAAAAAAGAUUAUGGAUAGGCGGUGAGUCAAUUGUUUCGGGUAAGAGACUGCACCCGAGGGCGGAAGAUAGGAGUAUUUCUACUCCUAAUACUAGGGGGUUCCGUGGACCAGCCUAUUAGAGGGGCAAGG